RNAcentral lists this ribosomal RNA (281 nucleotides) under uncultured prokaryote. RNAcentral's name for it is "partial 16S ribosomal RNA". It matches the Rfam family "Bacterial small subunit ribosomal RNA", at positions 524 to 803 of the family's 1533-position model. The record is from RNAcentral.
UAUGUAGGGGGCUAGCGUUAUCCGGAAUUACUGGGCGUAAAGGGUGCGUAGGUGGUUUCUUAAGUCAGAGGUGAAAGGCUACGGCUCAACCGUAGUAAGCCUUUGAAACUGGGAAACUUGAGUGCAGGAGAGGAGAGUGGAAUUCCUAGUGUAGCGGUGAAAUGCGUAGAUAUUAGGAGGAACACCAGUUGCGAAGGCGGCUCUCUGGACUGUAACUGACACUGAGGCACGAAAGCGUGGGGAGCAAACAGGAUUAGAUACCCCCGUAGUCCCUGAGCGGG